Molecule: ribosomal RNA, 513 nt
Filed under: uncultured bacterium
Lineage: Bacteria
Description: partial 16S ribosomal RNA
Rfam family: Bacterial small subunit ribosomal RNA
Source: RNAcentral
GACGAACGCUGGCGGCGUGCUUAACACAUGCAAGUCGAACGAAAAGAGGGAAAGAGCUUGCUCUUUCCGGAAUUGAGUGGCAAACGGGUGAGUAACACGUAAACAACCUGCCUUCAGGAUGGGGACAACAGACGGAAACGACUGCUAAUACCGAAUAAGUUCCAAGAGCCGCAUGGCCCAUGGAAGAAAAGGUGGCCUCUACCUGUAAGCUAUCGCCUGAAGAGGGGUUUGCGUCUGAUUAGCUGGUUGGAGGGGUAACGGCCCACCAAGGCGACGAUCAGUAGCCGGUCUGAGAGGAUGAACGGCCACACUGGCACUGAGACACGGUCCAGACUCCUACGGGAGGCAGCAGUGGGGAAUCUUCCGCAAUGGGCGAAAGCCUGACGGAGCAACGCCGCGUGAGUGAUGACGGCCUUCGGGUUGUAAAACUCUGUGAUCCGGGACGAAAAGGCAGAGUGCGAAGAACAAACUGCAUUGACGGUACCGGAAAAGCAAGCCACGGCUAACUACGUG